Phasianus colchicus (ring-necked pheasant) is the source of this 6938-nucleotide long non-coding RNA. RefSeq lists it as uncharacterized. NCBI's taxonomy places the organism in Eukaryota, Metazoa, Chordata, Aves, Galliformes, Phasianidae. The record is from RefSeq and is a predicted model, not a curated record.
GCCUGGCUGCACCUCUUAGACCUCAUUUAAGGGCUGACUGCCACUGGGGAAGGAUCUCUUUCUGGAGGUCCCUCCUUGGUGGAGCUUUCUCUUGUGAACCUGUGAUCUUCUGAUCCAGGUGCAGAUGCGUAUGGGACAGAAGUGAACUGUAAUUUGUCAUCUGCUAAUCCUAUACAGAUUACCCGUUGCCAUGAGCUAUUUGCUCCUGAUUUGCUGCUAUUCUGAGAAUUUCAUGAAGACUCUUCAUGAUGAUGUGACAACUGGAAGAUAAAGAUGAGCUCAUCCUAAUAGUAGCACUUAGAGACUUACCUAAAUAAAGUUAACUUUAUAACAUGCUGUUCAACCAGGCCCUGGUCCUCAGUCAGCUGUAUGACCUCCAGCUGAAUCAACAUACCUUUCUGCUGUUUUGUGGGAUAUUUCUGAAUGCACCAAAUCUAUUAUUUGGCAACAACGUUUCCAUCUCUUUUUGCAACCAAAAUCAAAUUUGGGGUAUACCAGAAUUUGAGAUUUUUCUAUUGCAGGAAGGACCUAGCAGUGCAUUUCACAACCCCAGCAUCAGGUAUCAGUCUGAUUUACAAAUGCCUGAAUGUUUUCCAGCAGAGAUUUUGGCCUUUGUUGAACACAUUCAAGCUUUCUGAUGUCUGCUUUUUUUUCCUGUUACUUUUCUUAAACUUUUUAGAAAUUGUUCACAAAUUACUGGAGUUUGCAAAUCACAAUUGGAAAACCAUUGGUUUUAGAGUGGUACUUCCAUGCCUUACGUGUUCACUGGGGUUGACCAAGGAGCCUUCAUCUCCAGCAUGUCCCUCUGCAGGUUCUUAGGAUGACACACAGGCUUUGUUCUUAAGUUUCUGAUCUCCUUUUUUUUUUUUCCUUGAAAUUCCUUUUGAUUUUAGUGAAGCCAUUUCCUAGGGUCUUCUCGUAUAAGCCACUACUUCCAAGACCAACAAACUGCAAUUGGAGGUAUCCUGAAGGGCAAUGAGAUGUAUUUCAAGCUAAUGCUCUAAACAAAUUGGAUGAAAUAGCUAAAGAUCCUGGAUGCUGUUUAUUCUACCUUACUGUAAGCUUUUGGUAAACUGCAGCUGUAUUUUCACAAAUAUUCUUGAGCUCACGUGGCUUAACCCAGAGUGUUAAUGUACGUUAUCACCACUUCUUGGUGUGCAAGAGCCUCAGAUGAGUGAGACCCCUGGGAGUGAUUGACUUUGCCUGUGGCAGUUUUGUAUUAUGGGCUCGUAAUUGUGAAUUAUAGAUACGGCAGAAGCACUUGCAUGAGAUGCAGGCAGAACUGGGGAGAAGAUGGGAGGAACUGAUGGAUGAACUUUCAGCAGCCGGAGGGCUUGAGGUCCUCCUGCCCCGGCAGCUAAGCUGGAUGCAGCUGUGACUUUAGGAUAUGAGGAUGCUGCUCCUAUUGAUUUCUUUGGGAACAAGAUGACUACAUACGUCAGGCUUCAACCAACUGUAUCCAAACCUUCUGCUCAUGAGAGAUUGAUAAUAUUUCAGAGACAAAUUCUUUUUCUUUUUUUUUUUUCCAGUAGGCUAACAAGUACUCAUUUAAUUUGCAUCCUGAAACUAAACGACCACAAACAAAGUUCUUUGAAGGGAAUCUUCUUCUUUCAUUCUGCUUUCAUUUAAGGAAAACAGAGAUUUCCAUGUAUAAUUCGCAGGGCUUAAAUAUCCUACUUAGUGUUGUUGUUUCUAUUUUUUUUCCUCAGCAAUUAUGUAGACUCUUGCACAAAUCUGAUGAGGGAAAGCUGGAAUUUACAUGUUUCUUCCUCUGUUUCACUCUGUGCAUAAUCACCAUCUAUUCAUUGCCUUUACAAACUCCAUUAAUACACCCACUUUCCACGCUAUGCCAGUGGGCAUUUUAAUGCUAUGUUUGCAGGCCUGUUCUGUGUAUUGAAACUUACAUUGGUCUGAAAGUGAUGUGACCACUUCUGACCUGAGUGUCCUCAAGAAGAAAUGAGCUGCAGCAAAGCUUGCUCCAACGGUAGGACUGGUUUAGAAUGAGUUGGCUGUUAAAGUAAAUAUUGCUCAUUCUGUUACCAUCCUCUGGCUAAGAUUCAAGUCAGUGGUGAUGGUGCAGCCAGCAGACCCAACUCUGAGCUAUUUCUUGUCAAUUAACGUGCUUUGAGAAGCCCAUUUGUAAUGGGGGAAGAAGCAACUUGCAGGUCGGUAAAACCUGAUUUCAGGCCAUAGGCUGAGUCAGCACUUGGUGAGAGUUCAGAGCAUUUCUGUGACCAGCUCCCCAGGGCUUUGGCUGCUGGUGGCCAGUUGUGCUGUGCAGGGCCGAAGCCGUUAGUCACCGUUCAUUCUCUCAAUUCCUUGUUAAAUGGCCACCCUGGCAAUUAAGGCAGAACAUUUAGGUAGAGUUUAUUUCAGUUUGGGUCUGUCCUGAAGUAAUACUAAACAACAUCCAGGAGUUGGGUUUAGUUAGGAGUGCACGUGGAACAAUUCCAUCUGACUGCAGUGUGGGCAGAAAAUUCCAUUUUGAAAUCCAUAUUUUAAGAAAACCCUUUUAUUAGCUCCUGCGUUCUGACUCUCAAGAGAUGGAUUUCACGUGGUCUGAGCUGUGCGUAAAGCUGCCGUGUGAUAAUUUGCCUGCAUGUGAAAUAUGUUUGAAAGUAGUGGAUGCAAGAUCCAGUGUUCCCUUGCUCGUCAUGGACGUGUGGGUUGUCAUCUUUGGUGAAAAUAGGCUCAGAGCAUUUAGUUAGUGUAAGUGAGUGAUGUACGCCAACAGCAGAGAAAACAUGGGAUCAGUCAGCCAAUAUUCACUCCUACUGUGCAGUUCUCCUCUUCGUGUUGCAUAUGGGAUGCAGAGGUGGAGAGAGACAUGGCUGAAAAAGCUGCCGUCCUUUGGAGUGAGCAUUCAGAGAAGCUGUUCAUAAUCUGUUUUCCUAAUACUGGGUCUAAUGUAAGCGUAAUGGGCAGGAAGGAGGAUUUAAGCCAUUGGGUCCUUUCUGAGCUGAACAGAAGUGCAAGGUAUGGUUGCCUUUUCUGGCAGCUAUCAUUGAGAACCGUGUACAGGUUUCUGUUUUAUUGCUGAGCUUUUUUGGUCCCAAGUGCCAAGUGUGGAGCCACGUCACUGACAGUUGCUGGGCACCUUGGAAAGCGUGACUUUACUGAAAGUUUGCUUGCCAGAAGGGGUGCAGAGUGCACUGGUACCUGUCAGGUAUUCACCCAGAUGAGCCUUGGAGUCUCUUCUGGCAGUCUUUCCUGACCAGCAAGUGUUUUAUUGGCUUAGAGAACAGAAUCUGCUUUCUCACAAAUGCGCUACGUUAUCCGUACCUCCUCAAAAUGAGUCACAAAGCCUCUGCUGGCAUUACGAACCAGGAGGGAAAGGCAGGGUGACUUUCUGCUUUGUCAUCAGUUCAGGCCACAGUAAACAAUCCAGAACUCCCAGUGGAUUCACUGGCCUCCAAAUGGUAGCAUGGAAACAUCAGGAGAGCUGAAUCAGCUGCGAUGGGCCAUGUUGCAAUUUCAUGACUUCCACUUGUUUUCUCUUGGAACUGCGCAGGAAAGGUUUGACUGCUGGUGGCAGUUGGUUUGCUUUGCUUUUUUUAGCUUCUCAUACCAUGCAGGGCUGAGGAGAGCACGGCAUUGCAGAGCUGGGAGAUGGACCAGUUGUUCAGAAGCCGUACAGUUGGAUGAGCGUGGGCCACAGGUGAAAGUUUGGCUGUCACAGCUCAGCUUUCACUCGCUGCUACAUAUCAGUGGUUUGUCUGCCCUGGGGAAGGCAGGAUGAACCUUGCAGAAAGCAGUACUGCAACACCACGGCUCCUGAUGGGGUCUAGUUUGCAAGAAUGGGCUUUUAUUACACAUGAGCUAAAAUCCCCUUCAGCAGCCUUCAAAAUGGGGGGCUUAACUUCCCCUGUGUGGUUUGCUUGUUUUGCAGUGAAGCCAGCAUGAGCAUGAAUGUGUUAAACUGAAAACAGGAACUGGGGACAGCCAAAAUAGAGGAAGGAUAUGAGUUAAAAACAGUGAACUGUACUCCUGUCCCUCCUUCCCACCCGUGCCAUACGAUAGGGAACAGAAGCUGGUAUUAUCCCAAGGUGUUCUAUGUAUUCUCUCCAGAACGUCUGGCUUCCCCACGCUUGAUACAGAGCUUGUAUUUCUUCUCAGAGAGCUAUAGUUGGAAAUAACUAAUUUAACAAUAGCUUCCAGAUAAAUAAAUAGGUGUAGACAGUUUCAUACUUUCCUGUAAAACCACAGACAGCAAGUUGCUCUCCUACAGGGAAAUUCUGUUUUUUUUUCCCUCCUUCCUCCUCCUCUUCCAGCUGGGUAGAGAGAGCACAUGUUUUUUGAGCUGUGAUGUCUUUCUCCUCAUCCAUAUGUCAUUUGUUCUCUGUCUUCAGGGUCAUGCUGUGCAUAAAAUGAGUGCUUCCAUUUCCACUGAUUGGGUUAGUAUUUUUUUCUACUUGGUGAUGUUUUUACCAGUUUUUCCAGACACUGGCACGUGUCUGCAGUCAGUGUACUUGAAGUGGUAUCCAUCCCUAGCUAGGUGUUGGGGCUUCGGGGGAGGAAUCUGUGGUUUGUUUGGAAUCCUACAGCCAUCAGGGAGGGGAGUAACAGCAAACCCUUCCUUAAUGCAGGAUUUGGGUUGCCGCCAUGUUGUGGUACGCUCAUCCUUCCAUUGGUGAAAAUCUGUGUGAAAGGAGGCUAGGGCAGGAAAAAAGACCAAUAUGUAUUCACAGCAGGUACUCUGUGUCUCCUGUUAUCUAAAUUCUGUGCGAGCAGUGAGCGCUGAUACAGCUCCAUGCCAGCUCUGAGACCACUUAAAGCAAAAUAAACAUCUUCGCAGCAUGGUCUGAUACAUGCUCCCUUUAGAGUUGCAGGCACCUCCAAUUAAUCAUGCUGCCUAUGCAGGAAGAGGCUUUAAGAAUCAGAGGACAUUGCUAGACUUGAUGGUCUGAUGGAGAGGUGGGCAGCGACUCAACAUUAAGGGUAAGUGGGCUGUGCUCCCAGCCGAGCGAGCAGUGGCAGCCACUCUUGCCUUGCCUCUCCUGCUCGAUGAGCAAUGUCUUGUCUGUAUGCUGCAGAAUCACAGGCUUUAACGAGCAGAGUUCUUGGUUCUGGCUUGCAGGAUGUAUUGGUGCUGUGGGGCAGUGCUCAGAGCUGUGCACACGUUUUUGACUAAACAGCCUUCCCUCCUUUGUGAGAAAAGGCUUUUAUAUUGUAGCUCAGCUGGCAGGUCCCUGCCAUAAAUCUACGGGUUGACCAAGCCAAAUGACUUCUUGAAAUGUUAAUGAAUGAGAUGUGACCGGUACUCUGGAGUUGGAGUGUCUGUGCGUAGCAUUCUGGGUCAGCAGAGGGGAAUCACCUGCUCCCUGUUUCGAGUGUGGUCCUCAUUAAGUGUCAUUGGCCCCAGCUGUGCAUCUUAAUGACCGUGUAGGCUUUUGGUUUUUGCUUUAAUUCUAGUUAUCUUGUGGAGCAUUGUAUCUUUAAGCAUUUUAUGGGCUUCAAAAAUGGCACCAAUUACAGAAAAUAAGUGAAGGGCUAAAAUCAGAGUAAGGAGGUUUCAGACAUGGAGCAAGUCAGGCUUUUCAUGGAGUGCCAGCAGAGUGCUUGGUGCUGCACGGAGCCCAGAGCCAACGCCAGUCACUGCCCCAAGAAAUGGGAGGUUAGAAGAGACAGAUCUGACCCAGCACAGGGCUGCGGGGUGACAGAGGGGGAGGGAGCCGAGCUGUGCAGCCUUUAUGGAGACGCGUUUGUGUUGGUGAACAAAUGCACUGCGAGCUCAAGAAAAUACCUUUGUCUGAGGUUUGGCCCGUUCUGCGUUGGUUUGUUUAUAAACAGAAAGGAAAUGGUUGUGUUUAAAAACAUCGUUUUAGGAGAGUGAAUUAAUCUAUGGAGACUCGGUCCGCUGUGCUGAGACACGAAAUGUUUUCAGACCUUAUUUUUCUUGAAAACUGAAAAAAGAUGAUUCUGUAGUGUGUACAGAUGCAGAGCUAUGUGCCUGAACCAAUAUGUCAAACUGUCAUGUGGGAGAUUUGGUGAAAAACAUCUUGUCCUAGGGGAAUAAUUUUAAACACUAUAUGUAGGUUUGCUGCCUCAUAAGAGAUCAUUACUCAAAUCUAUUCCCUCUUAUGGUAGCUUGGCCUCUGCUUAACGGGCUCAAAGUGAACAGAAGCCCAUUAAUGCAUCCUUUAAGAGCGGUUAUCGGGUGGUAGAGGGGAAGCUGAUCUCCGAUCGGGGAAUAUAGUGUUUUUGGCCAAACCAUCUGACUUCGCCUUAACAAGAUGAGUGGCAAUCCAGGAGCUUUACGCCUGGCUGCUCAUUGAGGGCGGCGGCGGCCGGGCCCACGCUGCGCCGGGCGGAUGGGUCUGUGGGCAGCGCCGAGCCGCGGCUGAGGCUUUGUCAGAGCCGGUGAGGAUGUGUAAGGGACAAGCCCUACGGCACGUGGCUGUUCCAGGGAUCUUCACCUCCUGUUUGUCACUUUAAUCUUGCAGCGACGCUGAAAUGUAGAGUGGAACCCAUUGCAAACCAGACCUUUACCAGACUGUAAUUGCGCACUCUUGCUCCCUGCUUGUCAGUGUCUCUUGUUUCUUUUGUUGUUGUUGGCUUUGGCAAAAAUUAGAGAAAUGACAGGAGCAGCACCUGAAGAGUAGCAUAACUCCUGUUGCCUGUGUAGCAUCUGCAGUUGCCUUGGCUACUGGCCAUACCUUCCUCAAGUAAUCUCAUCUCUCACAAGAUGAUGCAUGUAAUGCGUUCUGGUAUUGUAGGUGAACUCGCUCUUAAUGGGAUUAGCUUACCUAAAAGUCAGGACACAUCUGAGAUUGUAGCGUUUGGUGGGGUUGUCACAGUUAAGAGGAUGUGUUGAUAUUUAAAAUAAUGCAGAUGAAGAUGCUAGCUGAUAGAAGAGAUAUUAGGAGCAGCUUGGGCUAAGGAGGCAGUGAGAAGGAAUGGAAGUAUGUAUACGUGGUGUCUUCAAGACUGAGGAGAGU